RNAcentral lists this ribosomal RNA (433 nucleotides) under uncultured bacterium. Its description in RNAcentral is "partial 16S ribosomal RNA". It matches the Rfam family "Bacterial small subunit ribosomal RNA", at positions 29 to 507 of the family's 1533-position model. The record is from RNAcentral.
AGCGAACGCUGGCGGCAGGCUUAACACAUGCAAGUCCAACGGGCACUUCGGUGCUAGUGGCAGACGGGUGAGUAACACGUGGGAACGUACCUUUCGGUUCGGAAUAAUCCAGGGAAACUUGGACUAAUACCGGAUACGCCCUUCGGGGGAAAGAUUCAUCGCCGAUAGAUCGGCCCGCGUCUGAUUAGCUAGUUGGUGAGGUAAUGGCUCACCAAGGCGACGAUCAGUAGCUGGUCUGAGAGGAUGAUCAGCCACAUUGGGACUGAGACACGGCCCAAACUCCUACGGGAGGCAGCAGUGGGGAAUAUUGGACAAUGGGCGCAAGCCUGAUCCAGCCAUGCCGCGUGAGUGAUGAAGGCCUUAGGGUUGUAAAGCUCUUUUGUCCGGGAAGAUAAUGACUGUACCGGAAGAAUAAGCCCCGGCUAACUUCGUG